AGGGCACCACCCGGAGUGGAGCCUGCGGCUUAAUUUGACUCAACACGGGGAAACUCACCCGGCCCGGACACCGGAAGGAUUGACAGAUUGAUAGCUCUUUCUUGAUUCUGUGGAUGGGGGUGCAUGGGCGUUCUUAGUUGGUGGAGGGAUCUGUCUGGGUAAUUCCGAUUACGAACGAGACUCUAACCUAUUAAAUAGACGUCGGGUUCUCUGCACUCGACGGUCUUCUUAGAGGGACAAGGUGCUUUUAGCACCGCGAAACAGAGCAAUAACAGGUCUGUGAUGCCCGUAGAUGUCCGGGGCCGCUCGCGCGCUACACUGAAGGAAGCAGCUGGUAACAUCCUUAUUCUAACGAACUGGGUAACCCGUGAAACUUCCUUCAUGAUUGGCAUAGGGGUGUGCAAUUGUGCGCCUUGAACGAGGAAUUCCCAGUAAAGACUAGUCAUCAGCUAGUGAUGAUUACGUCCCUGCCCAUUGUACACACCGCCCGUCGCUACUACCGAUUGAAUGGUUUAGUGA
This 519-nucleotide ribosomal RNA is filed under the name uncultured eukaryote. RNAcentral's name for it is "SSU rRNA". It matches the Rfam family "Eukaryotic small subunit ribosomal RNA", at positions 1161 to 1704 of the family's 1831-position model. The record is from RNAcentral.